RNAcentral lists this ribosomal RNA (464 nucleotides) under uncultured bacterium. Its description in RNAcentral is "bacterial SSU rRNA". It matches the Rfam family "Bacterial small subunit ribosomal RNA", at positions 331 to 792 of the family's 1533-position model. The record is from RNAcentral.
CCAGACUCCUACGGGAGGCAGCAGUGAGGAAUAUUGGUCAAUGGCCGGAAGGCUGAACCAGCCAAGCCGCGUGAAGGACGAAGGUGCCAAGCAUUGUAAACUUCUUUUGUCAAGGGACAAAAUCAGGCUCGAGAGCCUGACCGAGGGUACUUGAAGAAAAAGCAUCGGCUAACUCCGUGCCAGCAGCCGCGGUAAUACGUAGGGAGCAAGCGUUGUCCGGAUUUACUGGGUGUAAAGGGUGCGUAGGCGGCCCUGCAAGUCAGAAGUGAAAUCCAUGGGCUUAACCCGUGAACUGCUUUUGAAACUGUAGGGCUUGAGUGAAGUAGAGGCAGGCGGAAUUCCCGGUGUAGCGGUGAAAUGCGUAGAGAUCGGGAGGAACACCAGUGGCGAAGGCGGCCUGCUGGGCUUUAACUGACGCUGAAGCACGAAAGCGUGGGUAGCAAACAGGAUUAGAUACCCCCGUA